Molecule: long non-coding RNA, 391 nt
Organism: Scylla paramamosain (green mud crab)
Lineage: Eukaryota; Metazoa; Arthropoda; Malacostraca; Decapoda; Portunidae
Exons: 2
Source: RefSeq, a predicted model, not a curated record
UUACUGCCCCGACCCAACACAUGCAGUGCAGACCUUCAGACCGUACACACACUUCCGCCAGUGAUGCUGUGUUGUAGAGAGAGGAAGAGAAGACAGAAGAGAGAGAAAGGAGAUAGGUGGUGGUGGUGGUGGUGGUAGUAGUAGUAGUAGUAGUAGUAGUAGUAGUAGUAGUAGUAGUAGUAGUAGUAGUCAUUGUGUGGGCCUCUCUCUCUCUCUCUCUCUCUCUCUCUCUCUCUCUCUCUCUCUCUCUCUCUCUCUCUCUCUCUCUCUCUCUCUCUCUCUCUCUCUCUCUCAGCCCCACAGUAUGCUUACAAACCCACAGUCACCCCCCACAGCCAACCCCCACCCCUUUAUAUGUGUGUGUGUACUCUUCAAUAAAGGUAUAUGGUAA